This is a non-coding RNA of Heterocephalus glaber (naked mole-rat), 3575 nucleotides long. NCBI's taxonomy places the organism in Eukaryota, Metazoa, Chordata, Mammalia, Rodentia, Bathyergidae. The record is from RefSeq and is a predicted model, not a curated record.
AAGUAUUGCUUUGUUAAUUUAUAUUAAGUAUCUCUUUCUUUUCAGGGACUGUAAACAUUUUUGCACAUUUAACUUCAAUGUCCACAUGUUCACUGCUAGUCUCUCAAAAUAUGGUUGAUUUUUAUGUGUUUAUCUUGUAUCCCAUGACCUUGUUGAACUAACUUGUGUUCUGGGAGGAGUGAGAUUUUUGGGUUUUGUUUUAUAUUUUGGAGGGAUUUUCUAUGUGGAUGAUCAUGUCAUUGGGAAAUAAGGACAGUUAUAUUUUUUCUGAUGUGCAUGUGUGUGUGCAAAUUUUUAACAGGGUCUUUCUGUGUUGUCCACGUUCCCCAGCCUGGUGUUGACCCCACAACCUCCUGCCUCUGUCUCCUGAGUGGGUGGGUCUACAGCUGUGUGCCACCACAUCUAGUACAUGUAUGCCCUUUAUUUCCUUUUCCUGCCUUCUUGUACUGGCUAGAGCUUCUAGUAGUAUGUUGAAUAAAAGUGGUAAGAGUAGAAUUAAAGUAUUUGCCUUGUUUUUGAUCUUUGGAAGCAAAUAUUCAGUCUUUUAGUGUUUUGGAGGUUUUUGUUCUGCAGAUAUUCUUUAUCAAUUUAAAGAAUUUCCCUUCACUUUUCUGAGAAAUUUUUUUCAUGAACAGGUGUUACAUUUUGUCAAAUGCUUGUUCUGCAUCAACUGAUAUGACCACAGAUUUUUUUUUUUUUUCUUGCUUAGCCUGUUAAAGCGAUGGGUUAGAUCUGUGGGUUUUGAAUAAGAAUAGAUCUGCUUCCCAGGAUAAAUCCUGCUUGAUCACAAUGGUUCACUCUUUUUAUGUGUUUCUGGAUUCUAUUUUCCAGUAGUCUGUUAAGGGUUUUUGCAUCUACAUUAAUAAGGGAUAUUAAUCUGUAGUUUUCCCCUUUGUAUCCAUUUUUCUGUUUUUAGUAAUAGAGUAAUAUAAGCUUCCUAAAAUUGAGACACACACUCUCUCCUUGUUUCCUGCAAGAGAUUGUGUAGAAUUGGUGUUUAUCUUUUUUCCUCCAAGUACUGGGGAUUAUACCCAUGGCUUUCACACUGAGCUACAUCCCCAGCCCUUUUUUAAAUUUCCUAUUUUGAGAUAAGGUCUCACCACGUUGUCCAAACUGGGCUCGAACUUGCAAGCCUACUGCCUUAUCCUCCCACCUCAGCCUUCCCAGUUGCUGGGAUUACAGGUGUGUGCCACCACACCUGGUUUAAUGGCGGCAAUACUUCUCCACUAAAACCAUCUGGGGGUAGGAAUUUAUUUGAAGGAGGCACAUUUUAAUCAUUAAUUUUAUUUCCUUAGUAGUUCUACAGCUAUUCAGAUGAGCUGGCUCAUACAUUUGUGCUUUUUCAAAUAAUUGGCUCAUUCAUCUGAGUUGUAAAACUCAUUCACGUGGGACUGUUUGAGUGCCCCCUUGGUCCCUUCUGGGUGACUGUGGCUCUGUAGAGACAGUUCUGUCGCUCCUGACCCUGGUAACCCAUGUCUUCUCUGUCCGCCUUGCAAGAGGUUUAUCUUCUCAAUGAGCCAACUCUGUUUCAUUGAUUUCCUGCCUUGUCUGUUUUCCGUUUCACAAUUUCUUCUCUCACCUUUCUUAUUUCUUUCUUUUGGCUGUUAGGGUUCACUUUGUUCUUUUUUGUUGACGUUGGAGCUUAGAUUAUUGACUCGACUCGGGCUUCUUCCUCUCUCCAAACACAAGCUUUUAGUGAUUUGAAUUUCCUUCGCUACUCUGCUUUAGCAGUGCCUUGCCCUACAGAUACAUUUUAUAUGUUGUGUUUUCAUUUCACUCAAUUCAAUUUCCUUUGAGACUUCCUCUUUGACUCCUGGAUAAUUUAAAACUAAAUUAGUGGCUGAGGGCAGUGGUGUGUGACUGUAAUUCCAGCUACUCUGGAGAUGGAGGCAAAAGAGUCGAAAGUUCGAGGCCAGCCUGGACAACUCAGCGAGACCUUUCCUCAAAAUAAAUAAAAACUGUAGCUCAGUGGCACACUACUUGCCUAAAAUGUGUGAGUCUGGGGGUUCAACCACCAGUACCGCAAGAGCCAAAAAGAAAAUAGGUUAUAUAGGCCCCAGUGGUUUGAAGAUUUCCCUGUCCUCUUUCCAUUUUCUUUGGCAUCUAGUGUGGUUCCCGUGUGGUCCAAGAACACGUGUGUGUGUGUGUGUGUGUGUGUGUGUGUGAGUUCUGUUAGGUUUGCUGAGGCUCGUCUUUCAGCUCAAGAUGCCAUCCGCGUUGGUCCGUGCUCUGGAUGAUGAGAAGGGGCUGGGCCUGCUGCAGCCAAGUGCAGGGCCCCGGGAAGGCUUCGAGGGUUGUGCAGUAGCAGUGGCACUGAGUUCCACAUCCUGCUUUUCUCUGGCCACAGUGGCUUCAGUCCCUCACAGAGGCCCCAGCUCCUGCUGGACUGUCCCCUCCAUGCUGCCCUUGCCAGCCUCUGGGAAGCCACUGCUGUCGCCACCUCAUGCUGGGACCCUGGUUUCUGUGCCCCCACCCACGGCUCUGUGAGUGGUGUCAGCAGCAACCUCGCCUCCCUGACCCACUGCUCUGUGCCAUCUGUGUCCUGCUGAGGUCUCAUAUGAGGACACCUCCAGGCCAGAUGAGUCCAACGCUCAGGGGGCUGAGGCAGGAGGGUCAGCCUGAGCUACAUGGCAAGUUUGAGAGCAGCCUGCAACAUAGUGAGACGGACAGAAGGAACGAGAGGAAGAAAGGGAGAAAGGAGAGGCGUGACUCCUCAACAUUUGUCAGAGAGAUGUCCACAGAUGGGCCCGGGAGAGGGGUCAGAACCUGAGAGAAAUGGGCUGAGCAGAGGACCUGUCACAGGCCACAGAGGAAGAGGAGGCCACUGUUGGACCUUGUUCCCAGAUUCGAUUAGUGACGAUCCCUUGAAGCACGACACAGUCAUGAGUACUCACUGGAGAACUUUAUUUUCUGGCCGGGACCCAUGUGCACUCCAACCAAGCCGGAGGACAAAAGGCCCCAACUGAAAUGAGGACUGCAUAUUUAAAGGGAAAAACUACAGAAAAAGUCCCUCCUCCCAUUCCCCUGGGUAACGCUGUGUUGCAGAUCACCUGAAGCACAGUUUGCUUGUUUUACCUUGAAGUUAUAUGCAUCGGUUAGGGGUGGGGUUUUCUCCCAGGAGACAGAGUGCAGCUGGAAGUCACAUAUUUGCAAAAUGGAGGACAAUGUUCUCAACAUGGCGCUGGUAUUGCUAAGCUGCUGAGUUGGGUCUCACAGCCACCAAACAGAUGGACCAGAAAGGCUUGGCCAAGUGCUGAGCAGUUCUGCGGGGCCACCUGGUUGUCCGCUACUAUGAGCUGAGGGCCACACAAGGGUCCUUGCACCCACUUGCAAACCCCAAGGCUCCACGGCUGCUGACAAGGAAAACUGUGGACCGUGCUGCAGACAGAGCCCUGUGGCAACAGCUCCUGGAAGCCUGGGGUCGUCCAUGUGAGUCACCGAGGAGGACCUGCUCUUAACCCGGCCUGACCCAGCGUCACCUGACUCCAACUCCCAGUGCGUCCCCAGUCAUGCACACGGCAGACAAGCAAGGUUAUCCCGCAAACCUGCUGGGAUGGCAGUGUGCUCAGCCACAG